This 246-nucleotide ribosomal RNA is filed under the name fungal sp. Its description in RNAcentral is "partial small subunit ribosomal RNA". It matches the Rfam family "Eukaryotic small subunit ribosomal RNA", at positions 332 to 580 of the family's 1831-position model. The record is from RNAcentral. Lineage: Eukaryota; Fungi.
UCUCUCGAAUUGUUUUUGGGGUCCCAAAGGACUAUUAGGGCACGACACCGUGAGAGGGAGCCUGAGAAACGGCCCCCAUAUCCAAGGAAGGCAGCAGGCGCGCAAAUUACCCAAUCCUUACACGGGGAGGUAGUGACAAUAAAUAACAAUACGGGGUUCUUUGGGAUUUCGUAAUUGGAAUGAGUACAAUUUAAAUCUCUUAACGAGGAACAAUUGGAGGGAAAGUCUGGUGCCAGCACCCGCGGU